UCACCUGUAGCUCAGUUGGUUAGAGCAGUCGCCUGUUAAGCGAAAGGUCGUAGGUUCAAGUCCUACCUGGUGAGCCA
This 77-nucleotide transfer RNA is filed under the name Bacillus anthracis (anthrax bacterium). Its description in RNAcentral is "tRNA-Asn". It matches the Rfam family "tRNA". From Rfam's summary of the family: Transfer RNA (tRNA) molecules are approximately 80 nucleotides in length. Their secondary structure includes four short double-helical elements and three loops (D, anti-codon, and T loops). The record is from RNAcentral. RNAcentral also lists the same sequence under 16 other names. Lineage: Bacteria; Bacillati; Bacillota; Bacilli; Caryophanales; Bacillaceae.